This is a long non-coding RNA of Nematostella vectensis (starlet sea anemone), 347 nucleotides long. RefSeq lists it as uncharacterized. The transcript has 2 exons. Lineage: Eukaryota; Metazoa; Cnidaria; Anthozoa; Actiniaria; Edwardsiidae. The record is from RefSeq and is a predicted model, not a curated record.
UCAUUAUCAUAACCUCCAAACAGAUAGCCGUUUAUUCCCGUCUUUUCUACGCGUAAUCCACCUUUUUUGAGGAUUUGAUGGCAGAACAUGGAUUGAAGUUAAAGGACAUUAUGAUAGAGAUAGUAAAAUGUGCUCGAGUUGAAAGCCAGAAAAGAAAGAAGUUUGAGGUAAAAGGAAUGUAUCAAUGCGUAAAUCGCAAGAAACGAAUAAAAACUGUGUAAACUUAAGUUAUUCACUAAUCACUGUACUUACAUCUAAAGCGCCUAUGCUUUAUAAACUGUUACUUGAAGCACAAAAUUGAAUAACUUAGCUUAGUAAAAACCUAGUAAUCAGUCUUGCACCUAAAA